RNAcentral lists this unclassified non-coding RNA (146 nucleotides) under uncultured Phoma. RNAcentral describes it as "sequence contains ITS2". Lineage: Eukaryota; Fungi; Ascomycota. The record is from RNAcentral.
GUACCUUCAAGCUCUGCUUGGUGUUGGGUGUUUGUCUCCUGUAGACUCGCCUUAAAACAAUUGGCAGCCGGCGUAUUGAUUUCGGAGCGCAGUACAUCUCGCGCUUUGCACUCAUAACGACGACAUCCAAAAGUACAUUUUUACAC